This is an RNA transcript of Rhinichthys klamathensis goyatoka, 3216 nucleotides long. It is a transcript of the gene named neurotrophic tyrosine kinase, receptor, type 1, with no coding region annotated. The transcript is spliced from 18 exons. The record is from RefSeq and is a predicted model, not a curated record. Lineage: Eukaryota; Metazoa; Chordata; Actinopteri; Cypriniformes; Leuciscidae.
AUACUUGGGUAAAUGGCACAAUCCUUGCCCUUUGUGCAUACAUGAGUCAUGAGUUGUUUAGCCACAUGAGCUCAAAGUUCAUGGUCACUUCCGAUCUAUCCGUGUCCACCUGCAGCUCGUGAGUCUGGCUACAGUCACUUCUGCAAGUGUCACAGAGGUGUCUGGUGACCAUUUCUCUCUCUCAUCUCACACUCAACUAAUGGACCGCUUUGCCCCUCCCCUCCUUUUCUCCAUCUCGGACUGGGAGGUAGUGAGAGGAGGAGAGGAGGCAACAGCCCACCGUUCCCCAGGGCCCCUCUACACGGCUCAAUAGCUCAGCUCCUGGAUGGGAUCAUAACCCUGAGUGCUGGCCAAGAGAAGAGCCGCUUCUCCUCACUGCAGGGUGGAGUUUCCUCCAGGAGAACAAACUCACUCGAACCCCACCAUGGCUGAGCGUAGGGUGGUCCCGAUUGUGGUUUUGCUUCUUGUCCUGGUUGCACCAGCCCUGAGCGGAUGCCCAGGCGCCUGUCGCUGUUCCUUUGCCAUGCUGCAAUGCCUGGAGUUGGACGGGAUCACCAGCAUCCCGGCGUUGGCGCCACAGGAGAGUGAAAACGUCACUGAAAUCUACAUAGAGAAUCAAGCAAACCUGGAGAACAUCACAGACAUAGACCUCGCCAACUACAGAGAACUGAAGAACCUGACGGUCACAGAUUGUGGGAUGGUGUACAUCUCUGAAAAUGCCUUUCAGCAUAAUUUCAAGCUGCAGUAUGUAAACCUGGCCUCUAAUUUACUAAUGUACAUCAGUUGGAGGGUGUUCCAUUCGGUCCCUCUGUUGAGUCUAAUUCUGAGGGACAAUCCACUCACCUGCUCAUGUGACAUUUACUGGCUUCAGCAAUGGCAUAGAAAAAGACAAAGCGAUAUUGAUUCUCAACAAAACUGCAUCUACAAUGGCAACAGCAUUCAGCUGGAUUCGUUUGAAAUGGACAAUUGUAGUGUUCCUGAAGUCAAAAUUGACCCACCGACACUGACCACUCAAGAAGGUGGAAACCUGACCUUUACCUGUCUGGUGACUGGAGUACCAACACCGACUAUCCGCUGGAGAACAGAGCACCUUCAGUCCAGCUGGACCCUGCAGCAAGGGAUCUGGGGAUCAACCCUGGAGCUGGUUCUGCACAUGAGGAGCGUGUCUUCUGGAGACAACCUGCACAAUCUCACCUGUGAGGCGGAGAAUCGCGCUGGAAUGGAUGAAGCCACCGUGCAGCUGGAUAUUGAAUUUCCAGUGCGGAUCUUGUUUCUGAAGGACCCAGAACCACAGCAUCACUGGUGUAUCCCGUUUGCUGUGGACAGCAAUCCUCCCGCCACCAUCAAAUGGCUGUACAACAACACACCUCUCAUCGAAACCCGCUACACCUACACCGAACUGAUCAGAGACGCGGCCGAUGGCUCCGUUCAACACGGGUGUCUGUUCCUCAACAAGCCAACCCAUCUGAACAACGGCAACUACACACUCAUCGUGGAGAAUAAACUGGGUAGGGACCAGGCUACAGCAAAGGGGAUGUUCAUGGUAAAUCCUUUCGACCCCUUUGACCCAGAGGGCAUCAUUCCAGUCCUCCCUGAUGACCCAACAGUUCCCACCAACCAAUCAACGGAGACGGAGAAACUGGAGACCAGAGUGUUUGGGGUGUCAGUAGCGGUGGGUCUCGCUGUGUUUGCCUGCACAUUUCUUCUCAUCAUGGUGGUUGUCAUCAAUAAAUGUGGACAGCACUCCAAGUUCGGCAUCCACCGUUCGUCUGUUCUAGGCACUGAGGACGAUCUGGCCGUGUCUCUCCGCUUCAUGAACUUCGGGGCGAGUCCUCCAUCUUCAGAUGACAGCACGCUGGAUUCUGGCUUGUCCAGUUUUGUAGAAAACCCGCAGUAUUUCUGUGGGAUCAUCAAAGAGAAAGACAUGUGUGUACAAAACAUUAAAAGAAAAGACAUUAUUUUGAAGUGGGAACUGGGUGAAGGAGCUUUUGGCAAGGUUUACCUAGCAGAAUGUGCCAACCUUUGUCCUGAUACUGACAAGAUGCUGGUUGCUAUCAAGACCUUGAAAGUUGCCAGCGAGUCCACCCGACAGGACUUCCAGCGCGAGGCCGAGCUGCUCACGGUGCUACAGCAUGAACACAUAGUGCGCUUCUACGGUGUGUGUACAGACGGAGAACCUCUCGCCAUGGUGUUUGAGUACAUGCGACACGGAGACCUCAACCGCUUUCUAAGGGCUCAUGGUCCAGAUGCUCGUAUCUUGGACGAGAUGAAGGUUCCUCUGAUGGGUCAGCUGACUCUUCCUCAGAUGCUCCACAUCGCAGCUCAGAUCGCCUCAGGCAUGGUGUACCUCGCUUCCCUUCAUUUCGUCCACAGAGAUCUGGCCACCAGGAACUGUUUGGUCGGAGAAGGGCUGGUGGUGAAGAUCGGGGACUUCGGGAUGUCGAGAGACAUUUACAGCACUGAUUACUACAGGGUCGGUGGGAGGACGAUGUUGCCCAUUCGCUGGAUGCCGCCAGAAAGCAUCAUGUACAGGAAGUUCACCACGGAGAGUGACAUCUGGAGCUUUGGAGUGGUCCUUUGGGAAAUCUUCACCUACGGCAAACAACCGUGGUAUCAGCUAUCCAACAGUGAGGCCAUUGAGUGCAUCACGCAGGGACGAGAGCUUGAACGGCCACGUACCUGCCCAAAGGAAGUGCACCUCCUCAUGCAGGGCUGCUGGCAGAGAGAACCCCAGCAGAGGCUCGUCAUCAAGGACAUCUACAACCGCCUCGUGGCCCUCGUCAAGAGCCCGCCGGUCUACCUGGACAUCCUGGAGUAGCAGCACACGGCCCUGCGCGGAGAACACAUGCUUCUGACGGCUGCUUGUUUGGGCUGAGGAGGAAAGUCAACGCAACUUCCUGUUAUGGCUCCAGAGUUCUGCUUUAUUUCCUACAUCAGAAGCAUCAGCAAGGCCAGCAACUACACAACAACAGUGGAAACACACGGGCUGUGUACGGAAUGUAGUACUAACAUACUGAAUACUAUUUUUUUAAUCGAAACAGUAUGUUUUAUGGAACUGUCAAAUUUUCCAGCAGUAGUUUGUCACAUGAAUUGCAUGCUUUAGGCAAGACACUACAGGUGAAUAUGGUCAUUGUAAACAAUAGAUAUCUAAUUCUUUCCCUAGUUUAUUAACAACAGUACAUUAAGCGGCUGUUUACACGACAUCGUUUUCUACUA